AAAAUAUUUGUUCCUAUUAACGAGUAUGGUAUUCAUUGGACAUUGCUGGUAAUUGACAAAUCUAAGAAAAUACGAUACUUCAUUGACCCCAUGAAUGGACAAAAGGAAAUAACAAUUGAUUUUCAAACACACCCGCAUCUUAUGGACCUUAUAGACAAGAUAAGUGAAAUUGCUGACAUGAAAACUGGUUGGCAUUCUCAAUUUUGGUCAUGUAUCGAGCCAUUACAUUUCUCACAGCAGGACAGCUU
This is a long non-coding RNA of Xenia sp. Carnegie-2017, 248 nucleotides long. RefSeq lists it as uncharacterized. The record is from RefSeq and is a predicted model, not a curated record. The transcript has 3 exons. NCBI's taxonomy places the organism in Eukaryota, Metazoa, Cnidaria, Anthozoa, Malacalcyonacea, Xeniidae.